RNAcentral lists this ribosomal RNA (367 nucleotides) under Theileria equi. Its description in RNAcentral is "SSU rRNA". It matches the Rfam family "Eukaryotic small subunit ribosomal RNA", at positions 523 to 924 of the family's 1831-position model. The record is from RNAcentral. Lineage: Eukaryota; Apicomplexa; Aconoidasida; Piroplasmida; Theileriidae.
AUUUAAACCCCUUCCAGAGUAUCAAUUGGAGGGCAAGUCUGGUGCCAGCAGCCGCGGUAAUUCCAGCUCCAAUAGCGUAUAUUAAACUUGUUGCAGUUAAAAAGCUCGUAGUUGAAUUUCUGCUGUUUCGUUGACUGCGUUUGGCGUUUGUCAUCGUUGCGGCUUGGUUGGGUUUCGAUUAUUCGUUUCCCGGCGUUUACUUUGAGAAAAUUAGAGUGCUUGAAGCAGGCUUUUGCCUUGAAUACUUUAGCAUGGAAUAACGGAGUAGGACUUUGGUUCUAUUUUGUUGGUUUUAGGAGCCAGAGUAAUGGUUAAUAGGAACAGUUGGGGGCAUUCGUAUUUGACUGUCAGAGGUGAAAUUCUUAGA